GACGAACGCUGGCGGCGUGCCUAAUACAUGCAAGUCGAGCGAGGUUGUUGGAAGUGCUUGCACUUUCAACAACCUAGCGGCGGACGGGUGAGUAACACGUGGGCAACCUGCCCUGUAGAUUGGGAUAACUUCGGGAAACCGGAGCUAAUACCGAAUAAUUCGUUUAACCUCAUGGUUAAACGCUGAAAGGCGCUUCGGCGUCACUACAGGAUGGGCCCGCGGUGCAUUAGCUAGUUGGUGAGGUAACGGCUCACCAAGGCAACGAUGCAUAGCCGACCUGAGAGGGUGAUCGGCCACAUUGGGACUGAGACACGGCCCAAACUCCUACGGGAGGCAGCAGUAGGGAAUCUUCCACAAUGGACGAAAGUCUGAUGGAGCAACGCCGCGUGAGUGAUGAAGGUUUUCGGAUCGUAAAACUCUGUUGUAAGGGAAGAACAAGUGCGUUAGGUAAUGAACGCACCCUGACGGUACCUUAUUAGAAAGCCACGGCUAACUACGUGCCAGCCGCCGCCGUAA
This 516-nucleotide ribosomal RNA is filed under the name uncultured bacterium. Its description in RNAcentral is "partial 16S ribosomal RNA". It matches the Rfam family "Bacterial small subunit ribosomal RNA", at positions 28 to 523 of the family's 1533-position model. The record is from RNAcentral.